AGGUGAUGAAUUUACAUCAUCUGGGAGAGUUCGAGCGAUUCAGACCGGACACGGCGGACGCAGCAGGGGACUCCGAAAAUCCCGUGCCGCGGAGUGAGUCGCUUUCGCUCUCGAUGCAACUGAUACAUCAAAGUGAUACCUUUUUCCAUGUUCACGCUUCAGCUCGCCACUGUACUUGGACCUACUUCCUACCAGCUCUAUAAUUUCAGGAAUGCUACUAGCGAACAUUGCCUGCAACAGACCAUGGUGUCGAUCGUACAUCGAGUCUGCGCGCGGACACCAUCGUGUGGUGCACGACAAUAUCCACCUCGAGUCUCGGUAAAACUAUGGUGACGUAUAGUAAAUGUAGCUGAUAGCGGAGCGAAAAUAAAAUAAAAAGGAACGUGAGUGUCUACCGGUGAUGUGAGCAACUGAACACAGCCAGGCACAGGUGCGCAUGCAGAGAUCGCGAGGUGGGAGGGGAGGGACGCGCGCGGCGCGGGGCACACGGCGCGCGGCGAGGCGCCUCCACUCCGACUACUGCGAGCCGAGGCUCGUCUCGUACCAGUCCCCGGGAGGGUGACUCGUGAGUUGUGACCCCGAGUGCGCGUACGCGCGAGUACGGCACUUGUCCGACAUUAAGCUUGACAGUUGAGAGAUCCUCUGGCGGCACAUUGGUGGUAAUCACAUAACAAAGCAAAAGAAAAAGAAAACAUUCAUGCAAUUAAAAUCAUCGGUCGAAGUGAAGCUUUCUCGAUCGACGCUCCUUUAAAAGCGGGAAGUUAGAAGGUUGCACAUUUAUUGGCGACCACCGUCAGGACGGGCAGCUGCGGCCUCGUCUUACAGCCGAGUUAACUUGACAUGCUCUAGUGAGUGCACUAAUCAGGCUUACGGUCAUUCAACGAGCUGUGCGUUAAACCAAAGGGCUGAAUGCAAGGAAUCGCAAGCGUAGCACGGUACGAAAUAUAAACUUCGUUUUAUCCGAGAGGGCGAAAAAUAAACCAUCGGGAGACUUAGAGAACUUUUAACUUGCACCUCCUUGCAACUUUAAACUUAAAGAAUUUUCGUGAUUUUAAAUUUAAUUAUAAUAAAUAUUUUAGGAGUAGAAAAUAAUUUAAAGGGAAUGAAACUUACCAAGCCAACGAGGAGAAAAAAAACCAAAAAUGUUCUGCCAAGAACAGUGUGACAGAACACAUCACCGUAACCUACAGUGGACAUUGUGACUAUAAGAAAGUACACACAAGUCCAGUAAGACAAUGAUUGCGCAUUGUCAAACUCCAAUGGAUCGCCAGAGUUUUCCAACUGAAAUAAAAAAUAAUGUUUUCUCGCUUGUGUAAUUAUAUAGAUAAAUCAUU
Molecule: long non-coding RNA, 1334 nt
Organism: Melitaea cinxia (Glanville fritillary)
Lineage: Eukaryota; Metazoa; Arthropoda; Insecta; Lepidoptera; Nymphalidae
Exons: 2
Source: RefSeq, a predicted model, not a curated record